CACCCAUCCAGAGCGGUUGAGAGACCUGGCUCCCCGAGACCGCAGCAACCCCCGGCCACCGGAGCGGGUGCUACCGCCAGGACCGAUGGAGG
This 92-nucleotide non-coding RNA is filed under the name Nocardia terpenica. RNAcentral's name for it is "SAM-I sequence". It matches the Rfam family "SAM riboswitch aptamer (S box leader)". From Rfam's summary of the family: The SAM riboswitch is found upstream of a number of genes which code for proteins involved in methionine or cysteine biosynthesis in Gram-positive bacteria. The SAM riboswitch acts at the level of transcription termination control. The record is from Rfam by way of RNAcentral. Lineage: Bacteria; Bacillati; Actinomycetota; Actinomycetes; Mycobacteriales; Nocardiaceae.